This 564-nucleotide ribosomal RNA is filed under the name Triticum aestivum (bread wheat). RNAcentral describes it as "partial small subunit ribosomal RNA". Lineage: Eukaryota; Viridiplantae; Streptophyta; Magnoliopsida; Poales; Poaceae. The record is from RNAcentral.
GCCGCCAACUCUGCCUCCAACUCCGCCUCCACGCAUGAACUGCCGCACUGGAUACUGGACACCGGUGCGACGGAUCACCUGACGAGUGAUCUUGACCGUCUUCACUUCCAUGAGCGCUAUGGCGGGAAGGAUCAAGUGAAAGUGGCGAACGGUGCAGGUUUGUCUAUUUCGCAUAUUGGUCAUUCCACUAUACCCGGUUCAUCUCUGCGUUUACGCAAUAUUCUUCGUCUUCCACAUAUACAUCAACAUCUAUUGUUCGUUUAUCGACUUGUUCUUGAUAAUGAUGUUUUUGUAGAAUUUCACUGUUUCUUUUUCCUUGUUAAGGACAUAGCCACGAAGAAAAUUCUUCUUUGCGGUAGAAGUCGUGGCGGCCUCUACCCCAUCCCGUUUGGUCGCGCGUCGUCUUCCUCCACUCGCCAAGCGUCUCUCAGUGUCAAGACCACCUCGUCCCAGUGGCAUCAGCGUCUCGGUCAUCCCUCCAAUAAAAUUGUUCAAGACAUUGUUAAGAGCAAUGAUUUAGCGUGUUCUUCUGAACGUCAUUUUUCAGUGUGUGAUGCUUGUUAG